Molecule: ribosomal RNA, 468 nt
Filed under: uncultured bacterium
Lineage: Bacteria
Description: partial 16S ribosomal RNA
Rfam family: Bacterial small subunit ribosomal RNA
Source: RNAcentral
GACGAACGCUGGCGGCGUGCUUAACACAUGCAAGUCGAACGGAAAGGCCCUGCUUUUGUGGGGUGCUCGAGUGGCGAACGGGUGAGUAACACGUGAGUAACCUGCCCUUGACUUUGGGAUAACUUCAGGGAACUGGGGCUAAUACCGGAUAGGAGCUCCUGCUGCAUGGUGGGGGUUGGAAAGUUUCGGCGGUUGGGGAUGGACUCGCGGCUUAUCAGCUUGUUGGUGGGGUAGUGGCUUACCAAGGCUUUGACGGGUAGCCGGCCUGAGAGGGUGACCGGCCACAUUGCGACUGAGAUACGGCCCAGACUCCUACGGGAGGCAGCAGUGGGGAAUAUUGCACAAUGGGCGGAAGCCUGAUGCAGCAACGCCGCGUGCGGGAUGACGGCCUUCGGGGUGUAAACCGCUGUCGACUGUGACGAAGCGUGAGUGACGGUAAUGGGUAAAGAAGCACCGGCUAACUACGUG